AUAAAAUGCUACUGUAAAACCAAGCUUCCUGAUGGGAAUGGAAAUGAAAGGAUCCAGAACUAAUGGAGACCAGGUAGCAGCACUUGGUCAUCAGAAGCAAGGUUUGUGCCAGAGUCCUGCAUAAUGAAGCCUCUGAAGAAGAAAGGGCAAGAGCAGAAGCAAAUAUGCAAUUUUUCCUAAAACCGCUAUGUGAUAUUGAAAGCAUCAGCUUUGGGGCCCAUGUAAUGGUGUACCAUGGCCAAGGGUAGAAAAUUUUCCUUUACUUCAGCAGGAUCUUGAACUGGGAGAUGAAUCUAACGUAAGAUGCAAAGCAGGAGAGGUCAUAACAGCCAGACUACUCUGACUAGUCUAUAUCUGGAGUUGUUUGGAAGUCCCAGAGGACAGAGGACAUACUGCAUCAUGGAGAAUCCGAUGGGGUGAGGAAGAUUCAACAUCACUAUAACAGAUAUAUGGCCAAAGACAAAAAUUGAGAAAACAGUGGUACAAUAAGGUAAUAAGAGGCCAGCAUUCCCAAGUACAUAUGUGAGAAAAUUGAAGAGUUCAGCUAGUGGCCAGGAGGACUGUUUACAUGACCACAUAUGGAUUUCUUGAAAUACUUGAGAAAUUUAAGAAGAUCAAGUCUCCACAGUUUUUUAGAUGACAGCUGAGCCAGGAAAUACUGCCAUGUUAUAAUUCUCCCGAUCUAGUUUACCCCCAGGUUAAAUUGGCUGGAUUGGAACAAAACUGAUUUCUCAUCAGUGGCUUCAGUGGCUUACCUGUCUUCUAGAGUGGGAAAGCAUAAAGACAGAAUUAAUAACAUGAAUUCUAAAUGGUUUUUCUGUUUCAUUCAACAAAGACUGUGGAUAGGAAUAAUGCCUAGUAUAAACUUAGAUGCUUUUCCAAUGAGAAGAAUCUGGUAUAUUUUCUCUUGUCACUCAUCAUAAAAUAUCUCUGAUGAGUGAAUUAAACAAACUGAAGCAAACUACAGACCCUCUGGUUUUGAGGAAAUGUUAUAAACAGGUUUGAGUUUCAGUCCCAGCU
Molecule: long non-coding RNA, 1020 nt
Filed under: Homo sapiens (human)
Lineage: Eukaryota; Metazoa; Chordata; Mammalia; Primates; Hominidae
Description: HSALNT0090446
Source: RNAcentral